GGGCGCUUAGUGGAGUGGUUACCACGUUGGUCUUCGAAUGUCGACGUCAGUCGACAAAGUGUUUCGAACCAAAGUUCGUCGGUUCGAUCCCGGCAGUGCUCA
Non-coding RNA from Ceratobasidium sp. 392, 102 nucleotides. The record is from the annotation of a GenBank genome assembly. NCBI's taxonomy places the organism in Eukaryota, Fungi, Basidiomycota, Agaricomycetes, Cantharellales, Ceratobasidiaceae.